UACGUAGGUCCCGAGCGUUAUCCGGAUUUAUUGGGCGUAAAGCGAGCGCAGGCGGUUAGAUAAGUUGGAAGUGAAAUGCUGGGGCUGAACCAUGGUAUGCUUUUGAAACUGUUUAACUUGAGUGCAGAAGGGGAGAGUGGAAUUCCAUGUGUAGCGGUGAAAUGCGUAGAUAUACGGAGGAACACCGGUGGCGAAAGCGGCUCUCUGGUCUGUUACUGACGCUGAGGCUCGAAAGCGUGGGGAGCAAACAGG
This 252-nucleotide ribosomal RNA is filed under the name uncultured bacterium. Its description in RNAcentral is "partial 16S ribosomal RNA". It matches the Rfam family "Bacterial small subunit ribosomal RNA", at positions 524 to 776 of the family's 1533-position model. The record is from RNAcentral.